This 442-nucleotide ribosomal RNA is filed under the name uncultured bacterium. RNAcentral's name for it is "partial 16S ribosomal RNA". It matches the Rfam family "Bacterial small subunit ribosomal RNA", at positions 338 to 795 of the family's 1533-position model. The record is from RNAcentral.
CCUACGGGGGGCAGCAGUGGGGAAUAUUGGGCAAUGGGCGCAAGCCUGACCCAGCAACGCCGCGUGAAGGAAGAAGGCUUUCUGGUUGUUAACUUCUUUUUGGAGGGAAGAGCAGAAGACGGUACGUCUUGAAUAAGCCACGGCUAACUACGUGCCAGCAGCCGCGGUAAUACGGAGGUGGCAAGUGUUUUCCGGAUUUACUGGGUGUAAAGGGCGUGCAGCCGGGAAGACAAGUCAGAUGUGAAAUCCCGCGGCUCAACCGCGGAACUGCAUUUGAAACUGUUUUUCUUGAGUCCCGGAGAGGUAAGCGGAAUUCCUUGUGUAGCGGUGAAAUGCUUAGAUAUAAGGAAGAACACCGGUUGCGAAGGCGGAUGACUGGACGGCAACUGACGGUGAGGCACGAAAGCGUGGGGAGCAAACAGGAUUAGAUACCCUGGUAGUC